Long non-coding RNA from Musa acuminata AAA Group (dessert banana), 709 nucleotides. RefSeq lists it as uncharacterized. The transcript has 2 exons. NCBI's taxonomy places the organism in Eukaryota, Viridiplantae, Streptophyta, Magnoliopsida, Zingiberales, Musaceae. The record is from RefSeq and is a predicted model, not a curated record.
GGUAGAAGAAGACCUCAGCCCAUACUUUCUGUGCAACCUCGAAGGUCCUCUCGAUUCCGUGGUCUCCGUCAAGCAGGAUUUCUGGCUCCACAAUCGGCACCAACCCAUUGUCCUGCAAACCCAUUAGAAGAGAACUUGAGUAUAAGAUGAAGAAACAACACAAGGAACCGAGUGUGUGUACUUGUGCGAUGGCAGCGUAUCGAGCCAAGCCCCAGGCAGCUUCCUUGACUGCAAGAGCCGAUGGGCCAUUUGGAAUGCUGACCACUGUACGCCUGCAAUGUGUUUGAUGUAAGUCCUCUGAGAACAUGCACGGGGAAGGUUCCUGCAACUUAUGAAGUGAAUUCUACCAUUUAGCAAAGCGGGCACCCUGUUGAUAGUAUGCUGCGCAUCGCGAUGCCAGGCCGUCCAGUCCUUGGCACCAUGAUUCGUCAUUUGAGCCAGUGAGUGGCACUAAACCCUGAGGAAAAGACAACAUGGCGUCAAACACAGCCCUGCCCAUCUCCUAGCAGACGACGUCACAGGAGCAUUGGCACAUGAUUUAAGCGAUUACCUUGUCGACCUUGAUCCCUGGCAUUAUGUUCUGUUGAGUAAGAACAUCAACCAUCUUCUUACCAUCUGUGGUCGACUGAUAAAGAGUUUCCUCGAACAGGAUUGCUCCGGAGAUGUACUGACCCAGACCAGGUGCUGAGACAAGGAGGGUCCUGUAAGC